CACGCCUCACCUCUCUCACUCUCACCCACCCUCACGGAAGCCCUAGCCGCCGCCUCUCUCCUCAGUCAUCCUCAAUCGCACGUCCGCCGCCGCUCGCACGUCCGCCUCUCACGGUGAAAGAAGCCCAAGCCGCCAGCCGCCGCUCGCACGUCCGCCAAGCUCCGCCGAGAUGAUGGUGAGGUUGUUUCUACCCCAACGUGUUCAAAGGACGGAAGCUCUCAAGUAAAUGAUGCGGAAUCUUCUAAAAGACCCAACGAUACAUAUGAAGAUAUAAUGGAUUUGGAUUUGGAUUCGGAUGAAGGGGAAUAGGAGGUUUAUGAGAAAUUGGAAAUGAACUUUACUAUGCUUUUUAAUUAUGCUUUGGACUUCUUAAUUUCUUAUGCUAAGUUAAUAUUUUUUACACUUUGAACAUUAGUAUUGUUUGUUGUAACUUUCAAAUUUCUAGUUUGUACUUUAGAUU
Long non-coding RNA from Morus notabilis, 460 nucleotides. RefSeq lists it as uncharacterized. NCBI's taxonomy places the organism in Eukaryota, Viridiplantae, Streptophyta, Magnoliopsida, Rosales, Moraceae. The transcript has 3 exons. The record is from RefSeq and is a predicted model, not a curated record.